Molecule: ribosomal RNA, 254 nt
Filed under: uncultured bacterium
Lineage: Bacteria
Description: partial 16S ribosomal RNA
Rfam family: Bacterial small subunit ribosomal RNA
Source: RNAcentral
GACGAACCGUGCGAACGUUGUUCGGAAUCACUGGGCUUAAAGGGCGCGUAGGCGGCCGAGCGGGUCGUGGGUGAAAUCCCCCAGCUUAACUGGGGAAGUGCUUACGAUACCACUGCGGCUCGAGGAAGGCAGGGGCACUUGGAACUGUCGGUGGAGCGGUGAAAUGCGUUGAUAUCGACAGGAACGCCGGUGGCGAAAGCGGAGUGCUGGUCCUUUUCUGACGCUGAGGCGCGAAAGCCAGGGGAGCAAACGGG